Molecule: ribosomal RNA, 503 nt
Filed under: uncultured bacterium
Lineage: Bacteria
Description: bacterial SSU rRNA
Rfam family: Bacterial small subunit ribosomal RNA
Source: RNAcentral
GAUCUGGCUCAGGAUGAACGCUGGCGGCCGUGCUUAACACAUGCAAGUCGAGCGAAGCGCUUUCUUGAUUCUCGAUGAAGAGAGGGAUGAUUGAGCGGCGGACGGGUGAGUAACGCGUGGGUAACCUGCCUCUAGUCAGGGGGAUAACAGUUAGAAAUGACUGCUAAUACCGCAUAAGCGCACACACAGGCAUCUGUGAGUGUGAAAAACUCCGGUGGAUAGAGAUGGACCCGCGUCGGAUUAGCCAGUUGGCGGGGUAACGGCCCACCAAAGCGACGAUCCGUAGCCGGCCUGAGAGGGGCGACCGGCCACAUUGGGACUGAGACACGGCCCAAACUCCUACGGGAGGCAGCAGUGGGGAAUAUUGCACAAUGGGGGGAAACCCUGAUGCAAGCGACGCCGCGUGAGUGAUGAAGUAUUUCGGUACGUAAAGCUCUAUCAGCAGGGAAGAAGACGACGGUACCUGACUAAGAAGCCCCGGCUAACUACGUGCCAGCAGCAGC